Molecule: ribosomal RNA, 431 nt
Filed under: uncultured bacterium
Lineage: Bacteria
Description: partial 16S ribosomal RNA
Rfam family: Bacterial small subunit ribosomal RNA
Source: RNAcentral
AACGAACGCUGGCGGCAGGCUUAACACAUGCAAGUCGAGCGCCCCGCAAGGGGAGCGGCAGACUGGUGAGUAACGCGUGGGAACGUACCUUUUGGUUCGGAACAACUCCGGGAAACUGGAGCUAAUACCGGAUAAGCCCUAACGGGGAAAGAUUUAUCGCCGAAAGAUCGGCGCGCGUCUGAUUAGCUAGUUGGUGAGGUAACGGCUCACCAAGGCGACGAUCAGUAGCUGGUCUGAGAGGAUGAUCAGCCACACUGGGACUGAGACACGGCCCAGACUCCUACGGGAGGCAGCAGUGGGGAAUAUUGGACAAUGGGCGCAAGCCUGAUCCAGCCAUGCCGCGUGAGUGAUGAAGGCCUUAGGGUUGUAAAGCUCUUUUGUACGGGAAGAUAAUGACUGUACCGGAAGAAUAAGCCCCGGCUAACUUCGUG